RNAcentral lists this small nuclear RNA (134 nucleotides) under Chelydra serpentina (North American snapping turtle). RNAcentral describes it as "U2 spliceosomal RNA (ENSCSRG00000013664.1)". It matches the Rfam family "U2 spliceosomal RNA", at positions 1 to 133 of the family's 192-position model. Rfam says of the family: U2 is a small nuclear RNA (snRNA) component of the spliceosome (involved in pre-mRNA splicing). Lineage: Eukaryota; Metazoa; Chordata; Testudines; Chelydridae. The record is from Rfam by way of RNAcentral.
AUUGUUUUUUAGCUCCUUGGAGCUCAGAUCAAGUGUAGUACCUUCUCUGAUCAGUUUAAUAUCUGAUAAGUCCUUAAUUUGAGGACUGUUUAUUAAAUGAGUUUUUAGACCUGGGGGACAGAAUAGGAGCUUAC